This 374-nucleotide ribosomal RNA is filed under the name uncultured prokaryote. RNAcentral describes it as "partial 16S ribosomal RNA". The record is from RNAcentral.
CCCUAUGGGGUGCAGCAGGACCACAUGAUCGCCGCAUGCCAGCCCAAGAUACGCUCCCUCCAUGAACCGAAGAAAUUCGAAUAUGCCGGUGCGGCGGGUGGAUUUAUCGACAAAUACGGCUAUCCAUUUUGCCGGGGGAGGGUCUUCCAGUCCAUUGAGGAGGAUCACGGUCAAUAUGACGACGCCUGCGAGAGCUUCUGGGCCACGGGGGCCUGCAUGUUCGUAAAGGCGGACAUUUUCCACCGGUUCGGCGGUCUGGACGAGGAUUUCUUCGCCCACAUGGAAGAGAUCGAUUUCUGCUGGCGGCUGAAAAACAAUGGUUACAAGAUCAUGUAUUGCCCCGACUCCACGGUCUUUCAUAUCGGCGGGAGGGC